AGAGCGAACGCUGGCGGCAUGCUUAACACAUGCAAGUCGCACGGGCAGGGGCAACCCUGUCAGUGGCGGACGGGUGAGUAACGCGUAGGUAUCUAUCCUUGGGUGGGGGACAACUGUGGGAAACUACAGCUAAUACCGCAUGAUAACUGAGGUUUAAAGGCGCAAGUCGCCUGGGGAGGAGCCUGCGUACGAUUAGCUUGUUGGUGGGUAAAGGCCUACCAAGGCGACGAUCGUUAGCUGGUCUGAGAGGAUGAUCAGCCACAUUGGGACUGAGACACGGCCCAAACUCCUACGGGAGGCAGCAGUGGGGAAUAUUGGACAAUGGGCGCAAGCCUGAUCCAGCAAUGCCGCGUGUGUGAAGAAGGUCUUCGGAUUGUAAAGCACUUUCGACGGGGACGAUGAUGACGGUACCCGUAGAAGAAGCCCGGCUAACUUCGUGCCAGCAGCCGC
RNAcentral lists this ribosomal RNA (450 nucleotides) under uncultured bacterium. Its description in RNAcentral is "SSU rRNA". It matches the Rfam family "Bacterial small subunit ribosomal RNA", at positions 26 to 518 of the family's 1533-position model. The record is from RNAcentral.